RNAcentral lists this transfer RNA (70 nucleotides) under Paratrichocladius tamaater. RNAcentral's name for it is "tRNA-Gln". It matches the Rfam family "tRNA". Rfam says of the family: Transfer RNA (tRNA) molecules are approximately 80 nucleotides in length. Their secondary structure includes four short double-helical elements and three loops (D, anti-codon, and T loops). Further hydrogen bonds mediate the characteristic L-shaped molecular structure. tRNAs have two regions of fundamental functional importance: the anti-codon, which is responsible for specific mRNA codon recognition, and the 3' end, to which the tRNAs corresponding amino acid is attached (by aminoacyl-tRNA synthetases). tRNAs cope with the degeneracy of the genetic code in two manners: having more than one tRNA (with a specific anti-codon) for a particular amino acid; and 'wobble' base-pairing, i.e. permitting non-standard base-pairing at the 3rd anti-codon position. The record is from RNAcentral. Lineage: Eukaryota; Metazoa; Arthropoda; Insecta; Diptera; Chironomidae.
UAUAUUUUAGUGUAAGAAGCACAAAAGUUUUUGAUACUUUUAGGGAUAGUUUAAUUCUAUUAAGUAUAAA